This 74-nucleotide transfer RNA is filed under the name Euapta godeffroyi. RNAcentral describes it as "tRNA-Asp". The record is from RNAcentral. Lineage: Eukaryota; Metazoa; Echinodermata; Holothuroidea; Apodida; Synaptidae.
AAGAACUUAGUUAAUAUAGAUAACACUGGGAUGUCGGCCCGGAGUAGCAACCACAAUAAGAGUUGCAGUUCUUU